GGGAACCGAGCCGCCCAGCUCUGCUCUGCCACACAGCUCCGUGCCCACUGCCACUGCAACGGUGCAGAGGAGCAGCACUGCUUCACUUCUGCCUUUGAAACCACAGCAAGCACGAUGCAAACCAAACCAUGGGUACCGAAGAUGUCCAAAGAGGCAGGCUGACUCUCCUGCCCUCGAAGACAGGUUUGGCUCCACGAGCAGAGCAGAGGGAAUCGUUUUUAACUGGUUUAAACUAUGAUGGACUCAAGUGGAAAACGCAAGGAGAGUUAGCGAGGAGCAUAAUUGACUGGGCAUGGAACUCAGUAACCUCUCAGCACGCUGGAAGUGGUGGAGCAGAGGGGUUACGGCCAGGGCUGCUCCGCACCCACAGCCCUUUCUUCCCAAAGUGAACUCCGCCAGCAGCCAAAGACGGCAAUGACAACAACCUCUGGAGAGAUAGUCCCUCCUGACUCCUCACCAUGGCAACCGGUGUCUCAUUUCAGAAGUGUCAUGCCACAUUAUCAUCUUGCCGGCUCACACACUCCUGCCUGACAAGUUCUCUCUGCCCCUUGUGACAACCAUUCCAGGCUUAUGCUGUUUAUUUUUGGUGUCAGGCUGGCCCUGGCAGAUUGAAAGGCAACCUCAACCCCUUGAACAACAAGCACCACACCCCACUUGGCGAUAAGAGAUGAUUUGAGAAGAUAUUUGCUUACAUGUGUAUAAGCAAUUUGCUGUAUGAUGAAGCCCCGGUGUGCCUGUGUGAACGCACACGUAUGUGUGCAAAGGGGAAGGAACUGCAGAAGCGUAACAUUUCAUGAGAAAACAAACAAUUCAUUGCGGAUCCCAGGUAGCAGGCUUCAAUCAUCACAUCCCAUCGUACACACAGAACGUGAAACGUGGGCCACAAAGGCACCACGGGUACUCCCCACAAAGAGAAACGACAGCUAAGCUCGGUCUGUCCCUGCAAAACAGCCUCGCUGUGUCCCUGCAGAGCGCUGCGAGAUGCAGCGGCAGAGGCACCCCAUAGGAGGAAUGGGGACAAAACACGACAGUUCACUGCAGAAACACGCUAGGGCCAGAUUCAUCUCUGCUGUCAUGGAGUCCAUUUGGAACAGCACUGUUGUCAUUGAAUUACUUGGGACUGCCUGCAAUUGGAAUCACAGAACCUUGUCUUCAAGUAGCAGGCUGCGUGCAUCAUGGAGACUUCCUUUUAACUAUCCAAUUUUUACAGCCUGUACAUAAGCAGGACUAUGUCUACAGCUAGGGUUUCUUGGUGUAAGCACAAUUAAAGCUGAUAGUAAUUACAAAAGUAUGUAUUACAUUUGUUUUUAACGCUAAACUUAAGAAUACGGCAGUAUUUGUUUUAUGUUUACUUGGCUGGUUGAGGUGGUGGUGGUAGAGCAGGGCUUCUCUCCACUCCGAGUCAGGGAUAGCGUCCCACCCUCCCACCUCACCAGGCACAGAACAAGCUGCUCCUGGACCAACUGUUCCAUUGCUACCUGUCAGGAGGAAAGCUGCAGGGAAUCGGACAUGAUGUCCGGGUAGCAGCAGCACGAAGGAGAAAUGAAGGAGCAGGUUGGCAGAUCAACACAGAUUUCAUAUUUACUAUCCAGCCCAGUUAUUGUAGGCUGUGCCUACAGCUGUGCACUUGAUUUAGUUUACAGGCACUGCUUCAGCCCUGGUAAGAGGUGGGAGUGUGCUUCACCGCGGCGUUUACACAGAUCACAACGUAAACAAAACUUGACCCAACACCUUUUAUGUUAUCUCAGAGAAAGAAUCAUAAACUGAGCAAAAUCCACACCAUUAACUCCAGUGCAGUCUUUGAUCAAAUCGGGAGCUAAAAGGAAAACAGAUUUCCUUAAAAACAAACUAACAAAGCAGUAUGUGCAUUUCAUUUUUAAUCCAUUUUCUAGCAACCACACCAUAGAAAGGCAGAGGCUCACAACAGCAAUGCAUCUGAACACAAAAUAUGGCCAUCCCAAGGCACACUAAUGGCAUCCACAGCGCUGGUAAGAGGGAGCACGGAUGUUUUUACAACUGUAGGAUGGGGAAAAUUACUGUUGAUUAUGGAGCAGCAAUGAAAUGCCACAGUUGUGAGUGAUAAACACAGCAAAUGCUACAGGGGGUCCUUCUGGAAAAGGAAAAAAGGGGAACGUUUCGUCAUGCAGAAAAAUAUCCCAGGAAAAAAGGAUGGAGGUGACGCCUGCGUGGCUGUUACCAACCACGGGCUUCAUUCUGCCCCCAGCUGCACACGUGCAACCCAUCACCAGCGAAUGGAGACGGGCUCCCAUUGCAGCAGAACACUGCACAGCCACUUUGCCCUACAGGAAACACCGUAUGCAUGUCAGCCAGCAGAACCUUCUUACUUCUUCUCGUUAGUACUGUGCAUACGCAACCAGAUGCAAAUAUAUACACUUGCAUGCAUUGCUACUGCCACAUAACCCAGCCUGGGAUAUCCCAUUCCCAAACACCUGAGUACCUACACAGCUCUUCAUGGGUGCAAAGCCUCCAGGACUGCAGCAAUGAAACAGCGGAACAGAACUCACAUUGCCUGCGAGGCCCAUCUAUUCAUCUCUGCCCACAAGACUCCCUCGCACCACUGCAUGCUUUUUAUACUUCAUUAAAGCAAAUCACUGAUGUUCUUCAGCUGACAAACAUCCCCGGAAAGGAUGCAAAGAGCGGCAAGAAUUCGGCUUUGGCAAGCAGAUCUAUUUUCAUCUUACAUUUACAGUUGCUUGUGCAUAUCUAUAUAUCCAUCUGCAUCCCUAUCUUCAUAAAAACCUAACUGCAACAAAAUAAAUGAUAAUAAUUCUGCUGUUUCUGUUUCCGCUCUUCCCCAUCAGAAAGCUGGUAAUAAAACAAGCUCUCUAAAACAGGCAUUACCAACCCAGGCCAUGCAAACAAACACUUCACUGUUUUAUAAUCUCACAUGUCGAAUGAACAUCAUCGUUCCCUUUGGUGCCUUAAAAUAUCGGGUCCAUAAAAUUACUAAAAGGCAGAGCAGCAAUGCUGCCUAACACGCAGCCCACGGGAAGGCUGACAGUGCCCCAUCAGCUUCGCUUGUUGGCAGCUCUGAAUGUGCGUAGCACUGUUGGUUGGGCAAAGCGCUCACAGAGCACUGCGUGAACACAGCCGGGCCGUGGGAGCAGCACACCACGAGGUGACCCCGAGCCCUGGGGAUGCGGAUGGUGCAGUGUCCCUUUGGCCUUCUGCAGGCGGAAGAUGCCAGCACUUAUCCUAGCUGUGCAGCACAGAGGGCUCAAGGAGAAAUACCGUGGGACACCAGAUAUGGGCAUUAGAGCGCAAUCCCUUACAGAGCGUGGUCAGUCCACUGCUGUAGUUGGUUUUAAACAGCACUGUGCACUGCGUGAUGGAUGUUGACAAAAAAAAACAACCCCAUAAUUACAAACAAACAAAAAAAAAGACCCAAACCCUGAACCGA
This is a long non-coding RNA of Gallus gallus (chicken), 3421 nucleotides long. RefSeq lists it as uncharacterized. The record is from RefSeq and is a predicted model, not a curated record. The transcript is spliced from 4 exons. Lineage: Eukaryota; Metazoa; Chordata; Aves; Galliformes; Phasianidae.